Anolis carolinensis (green anole) is the source of this 1587-nucleotide long non-coding RNA. NCBI's taxonomy places the organism in Eukaryota, Metazoa, Chordata, Lepidosauria, Squamata, Anolidae. The record is from Ensembl.
GAAAGCCCAGGAGCACAAGCGCGACUUCUCCGAGAAGCAGCUGAAGGAAGGCAAGAGCAUCAUCGGGCUGCAAAUGGGGUCCAACCAGGGGGCUUCGCAGGCGGGCAUGACGGGCUACGGGCGGCCCAGGCAGAUCAUCAGCUAAGGCCGCCUCCGGACCCCCGCAAGACCCCCAACACACCCCGACAACCUCCUUCCAUCCAUCCUUUCCUUCCUUUGCAAUCCCUGCUUGGCUGCAAAAAGCACCCUCGCUCCCAUUAGCCAUGUGCAAAAAAAUAUGAUUCAAAACUCAUUACAACAUUUCGUUCCCAAAACGUUCCUGGCGAAAAUUUCGUUCCGAAAUUGGUUUUGUGCAUGCUCUUGGGGAAGCUUCCCGAGCUCCUUUCGUUUUUGCAGAUAUAGAGGAGAAAUUUGCUAUGUUUAUAGAAUAUGUUCCCCGCUGUUAGCAUGCCAAGUUUUGGAGCAUUUCACCCAUGCAUGGAUUUAUGGGGAAUUUUUACCAUGUUUUUCGUUCCGAAAUUCAUUUCAUGCAUGCUUGUGGGGAAGAUUCCGGGGUUUUUUCUCCCUCGUUUUCGCAGCGAUCAGGGCGAAAUUUGCUAUGUUUAUAGAAUAUGUUCCCCACUGUUAUCAGGCCAAGUUUCGGAGCGUUUCACCCAUGCAUGUAUUUUUGGGGAAUUUUUACAAUGUUUUUUGUUCCGAAAUUCAUUUCGUGCAUGCAUGUGGGGAAGCUUCCCGAGCUCUUCUCCCUCAUUUUCGGAGAUAUUGGGGCGAAAUUUGCUAUGUUUAUAGAAUAUGUUCCCCGCUGUUAACAAUUUUCACCAUAUUUUUACAAAACAUAUAUUUUUUUAAAAAGCACAAGAGCAAUCGCCUCGGGUUUCGUAGGCUAUGACCCUAGAUAACAGGGGAUCAUUCCUGCCAAGUUUCGGAAAAAUACACACAACUAUUGAUUUUUUGGGAAUUUUAAAAUUCUUUUGCAUGGGCCAACUUGGGUGCUUCAUCCGAAAAGGAAGGCCCAAGUUGGCCCAUGCCUGCUGUAAACAAUGGAGAGGAAUUAUAUCCCCUUCUCUUCCCCUCUGUUUUGUAUUUCAUCGUCGUCGUCCAUCGAUUAAAAACAAAAUAUACGACAUUUUAAAAUAAAAAAAAGCUUUCUUGGUCUUUUAUUUGGAGCCUCCGUCCCCAUUUCCCCAAGUCCGGAAAGCUGGGAAAAUAGACACAACAAGGCCGAUGACACGCAACACAAGGAGCGGGAUCCAAAGGCACCUUUGGUCAGCGUGGGUUUAGUUUUGGAAAGAUGCAAAAGAAACAGGUCCCGGCUGUCGACGUUGUUGUUUUUCCAACAAAAAUGGUAAUCAAAACAAUAAUAAUCACAAGAAUAACAACCUUGGCUUUGGUGGUAAGGAGGUCAUUCUCUCCAAUGACCAAAAGCAUCUAUCGGCAGAGGAUAGAGGAGAGAGCAAGUGUUGGCUUGGGGAUGCCAGGAUGGACAAACGGCUGGACAAAUGGCCAGACGUCCAUGCAAAAAGGCAGCCCAGUGAAUGCUGGCACUGACCGCCAUCAUCCCAUUGCAAAGCCAAUGCAAAGCCAUUG